RNAcentral lists this microRNA precursor (84 nucleotides) under Bombyx mori (domestic silkworm). RNAcentral's name for it is "mir-2807 microRNA precursor family". It matches the Rfam family "mir-2807 microRNA precursor family". Lineage: Eukaryota; Metazoa; Arthropoda; Insecta; Lepidoptera; Bombycidae. The record is from Rfam by way of RNAcentral.
UUAAUUUAAAUAUGUAUGGAGUUGGAUCGUUUGCCUACGUUUGCCGCUAGGGGCGCUAUUCCAAUUCCAUACAAGCUUGAGUUA